AAACCUAACCCCAGAGUAUGCCAGAUCCGCCACAAAUACAGGGAUUCCACUGUUCACACGGACAGAGUCUCCCCUGUAUUUGCACGGCGUCGCACAAGUACAACAGUACAAACAUGAUACAACCACAACUAAAUGAAUAUUGAAAUCACCGUACAUUCAUACAUUCACCAUUCACAUCACAGAUUUGCAUUCAAUGUCUAAACAUAAAUCCAUAGAAAAUAUUUUAAAAACUGUUCCCUACACAGGAACCUUUAUUCUUUAAAAAUGCUACCGCGAGGUGUAGAAAACCUUUUAUUUUACAAAAUUCAGAAAUCCACAUUUUCAAAUGUAAAUAAAUACUAAACCACAUAAACCAAGUAAACUAUACAUCGACCGAAAUAAGAAGGGUAAGAAACUAAACCGAACAACCUGGGUCGGAAGCUCUAUCGACCACUACGAACGUACCUCACGUCUCGUCCCAAUACACAUCGCCUGCGAUACCUGAAAAAUGGUGGGGGAGGUGAGAAUAUGUAAACAUAUCUCCCCUCCCAGUGGGUACCGCAAGCCGAAGAAGGCAAGGAGUACUCACUAGUCACGGAGAACUAGAUAGAUAUAAGUGCUGGUAAGUAAAGAUGCUGAUAAGUAGGGAGCUGACAAGUAUAGAUGCAGGUAAAUAAAACAGUAGCUACAAUAAACAGAUAAGGAUGUACUGGAAAUAAACACUGCAGCUACUGUAUGCAUGUGUCGACUGCCGAUAACCUCAAAAGUACCCAAUCUCGCUGCCCUGUUGGUCCGAAGACCUCAGGCCCAUGCCACACUGCUCAACCUGUACCUGACCUUCGCAAUGAAGCCCCUGCGUC
This 839-nucleotide long non-coding RNA is filed under the name Ananas comosus (pineapple). RNAcentral describes it as "long non-coding RNA (ACOM_LNC034223)". Lineage: Eukaryota; Viridiplantae; Streptophyta; Magnoliopsida; Poales; Bromeliaceae. The record is from RNAcentral.